This 707-nucleotide ribosomal RNA is filed under the name Escherichia coli. Its description in RNAcentral is "partial 23S ribosomal RNA". It matches the Rfam family "Bacterial large subunit ribosomal RNA", at positions 2242 to 2925 of the family's 2925-position model. The record is from RNAcentral. Lineage: Bacteria; Pseudomonadati; Pseudomonadota; Gammaproteobacteria; Enterobacterales; Enterobacteriaceae. RNAcentral also lists the same sequence under 1 other name.
GGGUUGCGGACAGUGUCUGGUGGGUAGUUUGACUGGGGCGGUCUCCUCCUAAAGAGUAACGGAGGAGCACGAAGGUUGGCUAAUCCUGGUCGGACAUCAGGAGGUUAGUGCAAUGGCAUAAGCCAGCUUGACUGCGAGCGUGACGGCGCGAGCAGGUGCGAAAGCAGGUCAUAGUGAUCCGGUGGUUCUGAAUGGAAGGGCCAUCGCUCAACGGAUAAAAGGUACUCCGGGGAUAACAGGCUGAUACCGCCCAAGAGUUCAUAUCGACGGCGGUGUUUGGCACCUCGAUGUCGGCUCAUCACAUCCUGGGGCUGAAGUAGGUCCCAAGGGUAUGGCUGUUCGCCAUUUAAAGUGGUACGCGAGCUGGGUUUAGAACGUCGUGAGACAGUUCGGUCCCUAUCUGCCGUGGGCGCUGGAGAACUGAGGGGGGCUGCUCCUAGUACGAGAGGACCGGAGUGGACGCAUCACUGGUGUUCGGGUUGUCAUGCCAAUGGCACUGCCCGGUAGCUAAAUGCGGAAGAGAUAAGUGCUGAAAGCAUCUAAGCACGAAACUUGCCCCGAGAUGAGUUCUCCCUGACCCUUUAAGGGUCCUGAAGGAACGUUGAAGACGACGACGUUGAUAGGCCGGGUGUGUAAGCGCAGCGAUGCGUUGAGCUAACCGGUACUAAUGAACCGUGAGGCUUAACCUUACAACGCCGAAGGUGUUU